GACGAACGCUGGCGGCGUGCCUAAUACAUGCAAGUAGAACGCUGAAGAGAGGAGCUUGCUCUUCUUGGAUGAGUUGCGAACGGGUGAGUAACGCGUAGGUAACCUGCCUUGUAGCGGGGGAUAACUAUUGGAAACGAUAGCUAAUACCGCAUAACAAUGGAUGACACAUGUCAUUUAUUUGAAAGGGGCAAUUGCUCCACUACAAGAUGGACCUGCGUUGUAUUAGCUAGUAGGUGAGGUAACGGCUCACCUAGGCGACGAUACAUAGCCGACCUGAGAGGGUGAUCGGCCACACUGGGACUGAGACACGGCCCAGACUCCUACGGGAGGCAGCAGUAGGGAAUCUUCGGCAAUGGGGGCAACCCUGACCGAGCAACGCCGCGUGAGUGAAGAAGGUUUUCGGAUCGUAAAGCUCUGUUGUAAGUCAAGAACGAGUGUGAGAGUGGAAAAUUCACACUGUGACGGUAGCUUACCAGAAAGGGACGGCUAACUACGUGCCAGCAGCCGCGGUAAUACGUAGGUCCCGAGCGUUGUCCGGAUUUAUUGGGCGUAAAGCGAGCGCAGGCGGUUUGAUAAGUCUGAAGUUAAAGGCUGUGGCUCAACCAUAGCUCGCUUUGGAAACUGUCAAACUUGAGUGCAGAAGGGGAGAGUGGAAUUCCAUGUGUAGCGGUGAAAUGCGUAGAUAUAUGGAGGAACACCGGUGGCGAAAGCGGCUCUCUGGUCUGUAACUGACGCUGAGGCUCGAAAGCGUGGGGAGCGAACAGGGUUAGAUACCCUGGUAGUCCACGCCGUAAACGAUGAGUGCUAGGUGUUGGAUCCUUUCCGGGAUUCAGUGCCGCAGCUAACGCAUUAAGCACUCCGCCUGGGGAGUACGACCGCAAGGUUGAAACUCAAAGGAAUUGACGGGGGCCCGCACAAGCGGUGGAGCAUGUGGUUUAACUCGAAGCAACGCGAAGAACCUUACCAGGUCUUGACAUCCCGAUGCUAUUUCUAGAGAUAGAAAGUUACUUCGGUACAUCGGUGACAGGUGGUGCAUGGUUGUCGUCAGCUCGUGUCGUGAGAUGUUGGGUUAAGUCCCGCAACGAGCGCAACCCCUAUUGUUAGUUGCCAUCAUUCAGUUGGGCACUCUAGCGAGACUGCCGGUAAUAAACCGGAGGAAGGUGGGGAUGACGUCAAAUCAUCAUGCCCCUUAUGACCUGGGCUACACACGUGCUACAAUGGUUGGUACAACGAGUUGCGAGUCGGUGACGGCAAGCUAAUCUCUUAAAGCCAAUCUCAGUUCGGAUUGUAGGCUGCAACUCGCCUACAUGAAGUCGGAAUCGCUAGUAAUCGCGGAUCAGCACGCCGCGGUGAAUACGUUCCCGGGCCU
RNAcentral lists this ribosomal RNA (1369 nucleotides) under uncultured bacterium. RNAcentral describes it as "bacterial SSU rRNA". It matches the Rfam family "Bacterial small subunit ribosomal RNA", at positions 28 to 1381 of the family's 1533-position model. The record is from RNAcentral.